This 1362-nucleotide ribosomal RNA is filed under the name uncultured bacterium. RNAcentral's name for it is "16S ribosomal RNA". It matches the Rfam family "Bacterial small subunit ribosomal RNA". The record is from RNAcentral.
CCUGGCUCAGGACGAACGCUGGCGGCGCGCCUAACACAUGCAAGUCGAACGGAGCUUAAAGAGCUUGCUUUUUGAGCUUAGUGGCGAACGGGUGAGUAACGCGUGAGUAACCUGCCCUGGAGUGGGGGACAACAGUUGGAAACGACUGCUAAUACCGCAUAAGCCCACGGAUUCGCAUGGAUCUGCGGGAAAAGGAUUUAUUCGCUUCAGGAUGGACUCGCGUCCAAUUAGCUAGUUGGUGAGGUAACGGCCCACCAAGGCGAGGAUUGGUAGCCGGACUGAGAGGUUGAACGGCCAUAUUGGGACUGAGACACGGCCCAGACUCCUACGGGAGGCAGCAGUGGGGGAUAUUGCACAAUGGGGGAAACCCUGAUGCAGCGACGCCGCGUGGAGGAAGAAGGUUUUCGGAUUGUAAACUCCUGUCGUUAGGGACGAUAAUGACGGUACCUAACAAGAAAGCACCGGCUAACUACGUGCCAGCAGCCGCGGUAAAACGUAGGGUGCAAGCGUUGUCCGGAAUUACUGGGUGUAAAGGGAGCGCAGGCGGACCGGCAAGUUGGAAGUGAAAACUAUGGGCUCAACCCAUAAAUUGCUUUCAAAACUGCUGGCCUUGAGUAGUGCAGAGGUAGGUGGAAUUCCCGGUGUAGCGGUGGAAUGCGUAGAUAUCGGGAGGAACACCAGUGGCGAAGGCGACCUACUGGGCACCAACUGACGCUGAGGCUCGAAAGCAUGGGUAGCAAACAGGAUUAGAUACCCUGGUAGUCCAUGCCGUAAACGAUGAUUACUAGGUGUUGGAGGAUUGACCCCUUCAGUGCCGCAGUUAAACACAAUAAGUAAUCCACCUUGGGAGUACGACCGCAAGGUUGAAACUCAAAGGAAUUGACGGGGGCCCGCACAAGCAGUGGAGUAUGUGGUUUAAUUCGAAGCAACGCGAAGAACCUUACCAGGUCUUGACAUCCGAUGCAUAGCUUAGAGAUAAGUGAAGUCCUUCGGGACAUCGAGACAGGUGGUGCAUGGUUGUCGUCAGCUCGUGUCGUGAGAUGUUGGGUUAAGUCCCGCAACGAGCGCAACCCUUAUUGCCAGUUACUACGCAAGAGGACUCUGGCGAGACUGCCGUUGACAAAACGGAGGAAGGUGGGGAUGACGUCAAAUCAUCAUGCCCUUUAUGACCUGGGCUACACACGUACUACAAUGGCGUUUAACAAAGAGAAGCAAGACCGCGAGGUGGAGCAAAACUCAAAAACAACGUCUCAGUUCAGAUUGCAGGCUGCAACUCGCCUGCAUGAAGUCGGAAUUGCUAGUAAUCGCGGAUCAGCAUGCCGCGGUGAAUACGUUCCCGGGCCUUGCACUCACCGCCCGUCA